UUCCUCCAGUGUGCGGCGGGCUUAAUCGAGCAAUUUCGAAGAGAAUAGAAUAGAUGUUUUGUCUGUCAAUUUUAAAGUCUUCUAGGUAAAUGGCGUAUUUAAACGAUUCUUCGAGCGAUAUUUUGACCUGUUCUAACUUAAAAGAUGGUAAAGAAAUUUCAAAGAUAAAUGGAGGGUUUAAAUAUUAUACUUUUGAACAGGUUAAUGAAACGGGGACAUAUUUUUCUGACAUGCUAAGACGAAAGCAGAAAAUAUGUGUAUUGAAGAUUCCAAUUCAGAGUUUUAACGACACCACAAUUUUCGAGGCCGUGCCCACAUACUUGGCAGUCGCGGAAGAUUAGCCAGUGUUAGAUAACCGGUUGUGUAAAACUUUAAAGAAAACUCUCCGCUACUUAAGAAACUGUUCCCACUUUGUUUUUCUGUUUUAGUACACGGUAUUCUGUGUUGUAAAUUGUAGGUAAAUCGUAAAACCUUGCUGUUGAUGCCAUCUUCAAUUUCUGAAUUUCAAAGCGCUGUUACUUACACCGAACCUUAUUCUAACCAUAAUUACUACAAAGCCCAUGAUGGCGUAAAAAAUUACUGGCAACAUGGUAGCUAUUUCUCAAGUAACGGGAGCAACAUGCUUCAAAUUGCCAUGUGGCACUAGCUAUAGAAUAGCAUGUAAAUUAUCUGCACGACUGACAAAAGUAGGACAUAAACACCUAGUUUUAUGUAUAGUAAUAAUGACAUAAACAAUCACUAGCCAAGCUAGCUUGCAAAUUUGUCCUGUGAUGUUAAUUUCUUAGCUUUACAAUUAUUAAUUUCUUUAGAACCAAAUUUGCAGGCUGGCUUUGUCUCAUAUGUAGCUAUAAUUUGUUCAAUUGCAAAGAUUACAUUUUGUCAGAGUAAUAAACUAUAGGAUACCUGGC
Molecule: long non-coding RNA, 908 nt
Organism: Xenia sp. Carnegie-2017
Lineage: Eukaryota; Metazoa; Cnidaria; Anthozoa; Malacalcyonacea; Xeniidae
Exons: 2
Source: RefSeq, a predicted model, not a curated record